ACUCAAAUGAAUUGACGGGGACCCGCACAAGCGGUGGAUGAUGUGGAUUAAUUCGAUGCAACGCGAAAAACCUUACCUACCCUUGACAUGUCCAGGAGCCUGAAGAGAUUUGGGUGUGCCCGAAAGGGAACUGGAACACAGGUGCUGCAUGGCUGUCGUCAGCUCGUGUCGUGAGAUGUUGGGUUAAGUCCCGCAACGAGCGCAACCCUUGUCGUUAAUUGCCAUCAUUUAGUUGGGCACUUUAACGAGACUGCCGGUGACAAACCGGAGGAAGGUGGGGAUGACGUCAAGUCCUCAUGGCCCUUAUGGGUAGGGCUUCACACGUCAUACAAUGGUCGGUACAAAGGGUUGCCAAGCCGCGAGGUGGAGCCAAUCCCAGAAAGCCGAUCGUAGUCCGGAUUGCAGGCUGCAACUCGCCUGCAUGAAGUCGGAAUCGCUAGUAAUCGUGGAUCAGCAUGUCACGGUGAAUACGUUCCCGGGUCUUGUACACACCGCCCGU
RNAcentral lists this ribosomal RNA (499 nucleotides) under uncultured bacterium. Its description in RNAcentral is "partial 16S ribosomal RNA". It matches the Rfam family "Bacterial small subunit ribosomal RNA", at positions 899 to 1397 of the family's 1533-position model. The record is from RNAcentral.